Molecule: ribosomal RNA, 414 nt
Filed under: uncultured microorganism
Description: bacterial SSU rRNA
Rfam family: Archaeal small subunit ribosomal RNA
Source: RNAcentral
CAGCAGCCCCGGUAAUACCGGCGGCCCGAGUGGCGGUCACUAUUAUUGGGCUUAAAACGUCCGUAGCCGGGUUGGGAAGUCCUCCGGGAAAUCUGGCCGCUUAACGGUCAGAAUGCCGGAGGAUACUCCCAGCCUAGGGAGCGGGAGAGGCCGAGGGGAUUCCCGGAGGAGGGGGGAAAUCCUAUAAUCCCGGGAGGACCACCUGUGGCGAAGGCGCUCGGCUGGAACGCGUCCGACGGUGAGGGACGAAGGCCAGGGGAGCAAACCGGAUUAGAUACCCGGGUAGUCCUGGCUGUAAACGAUGCGGACUUUGUGUCGGACAAGCUAUGAGCUUGUCCGGUGCCGGAGGGAAACCGUUAAGUCCGCCGCCUGGGGAGUACGGCCGCAAGGCUGAAACUUAAAGGAAUUGGCGGG